CAAAUUACGAUUAUUCGCCGGUUGAAAAAAUCACUUUUUUGAAGCAUCAGUGUGCGGCGGAACAGCCUGCUAUGCCAUCUCGUCAGCAAGACGAGGGCAGCGUGUAGCCGUAUUUGUGACUGAUGGUUCCAUAGUCAGUCUCAUUCGUACUGCCUUUGCCGCCGAGAUGCGAGGCGUCAUAUCUUCCAGUGACUC
Molecule: unclassified non-coding RNA, 195 nt
Filed under: uncultured fungus
Lineage: Eukaryota; Fungi
Description: sequence contains ITS1
Source: RNAcentral